RNAcentral lists this microRNA precursor (62 nucleotides) under Homo sapiens (human). RNAcentral's name for it is "Hsa-Mir-616_pre stem-loop". The record is from RNAcentral. Lineage: Eukaryota; Metazoa; Chordata; Mammalia; Primates; Hominidae.
ACUCAAAACCCUUCAGUGACUUCCAUGACAUGAAAUAGGAAGUCAUUGGAGGGUUUGAGCAG